GCAUAAUCACUUGCCUUCUAAUUAAAGGCUAGAAUGAAAGGAAUAACGUAAAUCUAACUAUAUCAAAAACACAACUAAAAUUUAAUCUUCAGGUGAAGAAGCCUGAAUAAAUUUGAAAGACAAGAAGACCCUAUAGAGUUUAAGUAAUAACCGCCAACCUUCUAUUUACUUUGAUUGGGGUGAUCAAGGAAACAAAAAACCUUCCUAACAACAAAAGAAAAUAAUUCAACAUAAAAAUCCUUAAUAAAGAAUUUAAACAAAACUACCUUAGGGAUAACAGGCUUAUCUUCCUCAAAAGUCCACAUAGACAGGAAGGUUUGGCACCUCGAUGUUGGCUUAGAGAAACAAAAUAAAGCAAAAAUUAUUAUAUGUUAGUUUGUUCAACUAUUAAAUCUC
RNAcentral lists this ribosomal RNA (396 nucleotides) under Polynoidae sp. 450 PB. RNAcentral describes it as "partial 16S ribosomal RNA". It matches the Rfam family "Bacterial large subunit ribosomal RNA", at positions 1959 to 2596 of the family's 2925-position model. The record is from RNAcentral. Lineage: Eukaryota; Metazoa; Annelida; Polychaeta; Phyllodocida; Polynoidae.